RNAcentral lists this RNase P RNA (437 nucleotides) under Cyanobacteria bacterium K_Offshore_surface_m2_239. Its description in RNAcentral is "RNase P RNA component class A". It matches the Rfam family "Bacterial RNase P class A". Rfam says of the family: Ribonuclease P (RNase P) is a ubiquitous endoribonuclease, found in archaea, bacteria and eukarya as well as chloroplasts and mitochondria. Its best characterised activity is the generation of mature 5'-ends of tRNAs by cleaving the 5'-leader elements of precursor-tRNAs. Lineage: Bacteria; Bacillati; Cyanobacteriota. The record is from RNAcentral.
GAAAGCAGGUGAGGUGAUCGCGACCGGCUCCGACCCAUGGGAGUUCUCUCCAGUGGGCCCUGGGGAUCCGGUUGAGGAAAGUCCGGGCUCCCCAAUGGCCAGGCCUGCUGGGUAACGCCCAGUGCGGGAAACCGUGAGGAGAGUGCCACAGAAACACACCGCCGAUGGCCCUUCGGGGCACAGGCAAGGGUGCAAGGGUGCGGUAAGAGCGCACCAGCGGCAUCGAGAGGUGCCGGCUCGGUAAACCCCAGCCGGGAGCAAGGCCAGGGCUUCGGCCCACGGAACAACGGUUGGCCAGUUGUCCUGUUCCGUUUUUUGCGCCGCUGGAGGCCGUCGGCAACGGCGGUUCGAGAGAGAUGAUCCACCCCCAUCGCCCGACCGGCCUGUGCCGGGGGGGGCGAUGGGAACAGAACCCGGCUUACGUCCUGCUUUCCCCC